AGUGAACGCUGGCGGUAGGCCUAACACAUGCAAGUCGAACGGCAGCACAGUAAGAGCUUGCUCUUACGGGUGGCGAGUGGCGGACGGGUGAGGAAUACAUCGGAAUCUACUUUUUCGUGGGGGAUAACGUAGGGAAACUUACGCUAAUACCGCAUACGACCUACGGGUGAAAUCAGGGGAUCUUCGGACCUUGCGCGAUUGAAUGAGCCGAUGUCGGAUUAGCUAGUUGGCGGGGUAAAGGCCCACCAAGGCGACGAUCCGUAGCUGGUCUGAGAGGAUGAUCAGCCACACUGGAACUGAGACACGGUCCAGACUCCUACGGGAGGCAGCAGUGGGGAAUAUUGGACAAGGGGCGCAAGCCUGAUCCAGCCAUACCGCGUGGGUGAAGAAGGCCUUCGGGUUGUAAAGCCCUUUUGUUGGGAAAGAAAAGCAGCAGGUUAAUACCCCGCUGUUCUGACGGUACCCAAAGAAUAAGCACCGGCUAACUUCGUG
This 492-nucleotide ribosomal RNA is filed under the name uncultured bacterium. RNAcentral describes it as "partial 16S ribosomal RNA". It matches the Rfam family "Bacterial small subunit ribosomal RNA", at positions 29 to 507 of the family's 1533-position model. The record is from RNAcentral.